UACAGAGGGUGCGAGCGUUGUCCGGAAUCACUGGGCGUAAAGGGCGCGUAGGCGGCCUGCUAAGUAGAGGGUGAAAUCCUGCGGCUCAACCGCAGGGCUGCCUUCUAAACUGUCAGGCUGGAGCACGGUAGAGGCAGAUAGAAUUCCCGGUGUAGCGGUGGAAUGCGUAGAGAUCGGGAAGAACACCAGUGGCGAAGGCGGUCUGCUGGGCCGUUGCUGACGCUGAGGCGCGACAGCGUGGGGAGCAAACAGG
This 253-nucleotide ribosomal RNA is filed under the name uncultured bacterium. RNAcentral's name for it is "partial 16S ribosomal RNA". It matches the Rfam family "Bacterial small subunit ribosomal RNA", at positions 524 to 776 of the family's 1533-position model. The record is from RNAcentral.